RNAcentral lists this ribosomal RNA (254 nucleotides) under Acanthamoeba sp. 07030b/T4. RNAcentral's name for it is "partial 18S ribosomal RNA". It matches the Rfam family "Eukaryotic small subunit ribosomal RNA", at positions 928 to 1097 of the family's 1831-position model. The record is from RNAcentral. Lineage: Eukaryota; Discosea; Longamoebia; Acanthamoebidae.
AUGAAAGAUUAACUUCUGCGAAAGCAUCUGCCAAGGAUGUUUUCAUUAAUCAAGAACGAAAGUUAGGGGAUCGAAGACGAUCAGAUACCGUCGUAGUCUUAACCAUAAACGAUGCCGACCAGCGAUUAGGAGACGUUGAAUACAAAACACCACCAUCGGUGCGGUCGUCCUUGGCGUCUCGGUUUCGGCCGGGGCGCGGGGACGGUUUAGCCCGGUGGCACCGGUGAAUGACUCCCCUAGCAGCUUGUGAGAAA